GUGCUGUGGCCAAGUGGUAAGGCGAAGGUCUGCAAAACCUUUAUUCACCAGUUCAAAUCUGGUCAGCA
RNAcentral lists this transfer RNA (68 nucleotides) under chicken gut metagenome. It matches the Rfam family "tRNA". Rfam says of the family: Transfer RNA (tRNA) molecules are approximately 80 nucleotides in length. Their secondary structure includes four short double-helical elements and three loops (D, anti-codon, and T loops). Further hydrogen bonds mediate the characteristic L-shaped molecular structure. tRNAs have two regions of fundamental functional importance: the anti-codon, which is responsible for specific mRNA codon recognition, and the 3' end, to which the tRNAs corresponding amino acid is attached (by aminoacyl-tRNA synthetases). tRNAs cope with the degeneracy of the genetic code in two manners: having more than one tRNA (with a specific anti-codon) for a particular amino acid; and 'wobble' base-pairing, i.e. permitting non-standard base-pairing at the 3rd anti-codon position. The record is from RNAcentral.